CAGGGAGUGAAAGAAGCCCCCCCCAUACCUGUUCUUGGAUGGAGCGGCCUAAGAAAACUCCGUUUCCCAGCAUGCAUAGGUCUGCCACCCUUCCCCCUCCCUCCCUCCUUCCUCCGGUGGGGGGGGGUUGUUGGCGGGUGGGGGAAGUUCGGAACUUGCUGGAAGAAUAAAGCAUCUUCGCACUUCCUUCGCGGGCUCCGCGGGCUCCGCGGGUCCACCCUUUCCUCCCUGGAGGCCUUUCCUGGAAUUGGCGGCGAGAGCUGACUAGGCCGCGGCAGCUGCCACAUGCUGAGUCACUCACUCCUCGGGCUCCGUCUCGCCUCUUAAGGCCUCAGCCGAAGUGGCAGCCCGACGGGGCCUGGCGGGUUUCGGCCCCGCGGAUCCCGGGUGUUGGUGGUGAUAGUGGGAAUACCUGCCGUGAGGAAGGUCUCCUCAGCGUCCAAGCCGUCGGUGGAGUUCGCACCGCUCUGGCCGGCUCGCUUUGGAGCGGUCAGUCGUCGGGAUAGCGAGAAGGCAGCUCCAGCUUCAGAGAUUGUAACGGCCGCGCUAUAUAAAGGUGGCCCGGUUGAUAAGUCUUUGGAGAUGGAGGUGCUUGUAUGAAGUUCCUAUCGCUGAUGUGUUUUGUUUUUAGUAGAAGGCUACCGAAACGUGAAAUAUUGCUAUUAUUUUUUUCACCGACAGACAGCUAAUGCACAACUUAAAGAAAGCUUAAACAAACAAAAAGACUUCAGGAAGUCACCCAUACGAGUAGCAAGAAAGAAGAAUACUCACCAUUCUCCCUCACCUAGGUCAUUAUCAGCACCUUGAAUUGAACCCACAAGCAAACUGGCACAUGAGGGACCACAUGACAGCAUGACUAUUAGAAACUGCUUGGGCAGGAGUGCUUCCAGUCCUUUCCUGAAGACUGGAUUGAAGAAAGGCAGCACAAACUCAAAGGAGUUAGAAUACAAUUAUAUGAACUAUCCCAUACUCUUCUCUUGUGAUUUAUCUGGGAUGUCUCCACUGAAAUGAUUAUCAUCAAAAUGCAUCAGGUUCUGUAACAUGACUUGAAAAACCCAGAUGGGGAACAAACUUUUACUUUGUGACCAGCCCAGAGGAUUCUCUUUGCAUAGAGUUCUGACUCAGUAGCAAGUUAUAGAGUCGCCACUCAUACAGUCACCAACACGGAAGCAAUAGCAUUUUCUUCUGGUAAGCUCAAGAAGUAUGAAGCACCAACACAAAAAAAUCAAUAUGCAGAUGCAACAGUUAUUAAACUUUGAUCAAAUAUGACAUUGUGUUAAAAAUAUGUUUAAUUCAGAAUUUUUAUAUCUGUAACUAACACCAAAAAAUGUUGGGUGGAAAGCUGUUACCACUAUACCUUAAGGACAAGAUAAUUCCUAUAGAAACUGAUAAUAAUAGGGAUAUUGGAUUUUAUUUUCUUUUUUUUGCAUAAUUUAAGUGACAAUUUUUGUAUAUUUGAUAAUACAUUUAUAUUGCAUGCAACAAUGAAUAAAUGGAUGUGUAUUUCUUCA
Molecule: long non-coding RNA, 1511 nt
Organism: Ahaetulla prasina
Lineage: Eukaryota; Metazoa; Chordata; Lepidosauria; Squamata; Colubridae
Exons: 5
Source: RefSeq, a predicted model, not a curated record